UAUAUCAAUUAAACAUUUUAUUUCGAAUUAGAUAGUCAAUACCAAUACUAUGGUUAUUUCAUGUACAGGCUUCCUUAUAUAGUCAGUGCUCGCUACUUAAACAGUAGCACAUGCGCACUCACAUUUCACCUCUGCAAUUAUUGCCACAUUUUCAGCCGGACCGGUUAAUUUCGAAAUCUCUCUUGUUAGACAUCGCUCUUAUUUUGAAACUGAAUCUAAUCUUGUGUGGCUUUGACUAUAAUGGAGCAUAUUUACUCGAUUAAUAUACCAUUUGUUUCUAAUGUUAAAAAAAAAGAUAAUCUGGAAUUUUCAGUUGUAUUGAUGAAAUACCUAAUAAACACAAGAAUAUAAGACUGGAUAAUGGUAAAAAAAAAAUACAAUGAAAAUGUACACUGACGUUUUAUUUAGGCAUCUUUGGAAAUUGUAGCAAAGGAAUUCACACGGAGAUACGUUCUGUCGGAAGAAGGGCAGUUGCGUGUCUGUUUUCCUUUUCUGUAGCGAUAAUGGUAUUCUAUUGCCUCUGGAACCGAAGAUGAAACUUGCAGAACUUUUUAUAUCCAUUGCAGUAGAAAUAAAAAAUAUACAUAUAAACUCGA
Molecule: long non-coding RNA, 596 nt
Organism: Octopus bimaculoides (California two-spot octopus)
Lineage: Eukaryota; Metazoa; Mollusca; Cephalopoda; Octopoda; Octopodidae
Source: RefSeq, a predicted model, not a curated record